AAAAGAAGGCAGGCAUUUUGGAUUACUUGCAACAACAACAAAUAUAUUUUGCUACUGAGGUGAGAGCAAAGAUUGAUAAAACUCCCUUCAGAAACAAAUACAAUCCAUCAAAACUUUUUUUUUUUUUUAAACAUCUAAUUUUGUUACAUAUUUGAAAUAGAAAGUUCCUUUUAUACCCCAUAGAGAAAUAUGCAUGCAUGGUAUCAUUGUGAAUACACUUAAAGUAAUCUAAAUAAUGAAGUCUCUAGCAUGACGUUAUGAAAAGCACAAUUGUAACUAUUUACAUUAUAUUUAAAACUUGUAUGAAUUUCCCUUUUUUUAGUUUAAACUAGAUAUAGAAAUGUAAAGUGAAAGGAGAAUUUACUGGGGGGAAAAAACAAAUAAAUAAAUAACGCACAGUCUCUUAUCACUACAGCUUUUAUAUGCCAUAUAGAAACGAAUAUUUAAUUAUGAGGAUAAAAGGUUUGAGGACAAAGAAUAGAAAGUACAAGAUGUCUAACAGAAUUGAUGUCAGACGAACUGCAAAAGGACAAAAUUGCCUCUCGAAGCCUAGAUGCCAUAAAUGAACUGAUAUACCAUAAUGGAAAACAAAAUAUAGUUGUGAGAACAAUAUUUGUCUAAAAAGUUUAAUAAGAAUUUAUGAAAAAACUUAAAAAACUAGAAAUGUGAUACAUAAAAUCAUGUCUCGAGUCAAAUUGUUAUAUGUCAAUUUGGAAUUCCCAGAAUUUUUAAUAAAUUCAUGUGUAAUGCUUUGGAUGGGCUAAAUUACAUUUUUUUAUUAUGUCUUGGCCACUUAAGUAAGUUGAAGUAGUUAUGGUGCCGCAGUCUAUAUGUCAUAGGCGUGCGCACGGGGUGUGCCGGGUGUGCCUGGGCACACCCUAAUCCCCUCGGCACGCCUAUGGAGUGAGACCGGCAGGGGAGAUCUCAGGAUCUUCCCUGUUGGCUCAUGCAGAGCUGGCGCUCCCCGAGCGCCGGCUCUGCUCUCAGCAUCCCUCCCCACCGACCCACAUGCAGGGAGGGAGACAGGAGAGGACCUGGGGAGCUGUUGCCGGCAGCUCCGCCGGGCUCCUCUUGCGAGAUCUGAGCGUUGCCGCAGGCUAGAGUUCACUCUCCACUGGACCAACAGGGAUGGCAGAAAGGAUCCCCCCUCCCUACAUAAAGUAAGACGGGAGGGGGGAUAUUAAGUAAUGUACCCACACAUACACAGCACCUGCACACAUACAGCACCCACAGACAUACACAGCACCCACACACACACACACAGCACCCUCACAAACACACACAGCACCCUUACACACAGCACACAAACAGAACCCUCACACACACACAGCACACUAACAGUACCCUCACAAACACAAACAGGACCCUAACACACACACAGCACACUACCAGUACAUUAACAGCACACACACACACACAAACAGCACCCUCACACACAGUACAUUAACAGCACCCUCACAAGCGCGCACACACAAACACCCUCACCCACAUAGCACACUACCAGUAUCCUCACACUAACAGCACACACACAGCAGUAUGUGUGUGUGUAUAUAUAUAUACAUACACACACACACACACACAUACAUAUAUACAUACAUACAUACAUACAUAUACGCGGCGUGUGCUUGUGCUUUAGGGUGCACACCCUAAUGCAAUAGGCUGCGCACGCCUUUGCUGUAUGUGUAGUGUUCUGUUAUGAAAUACUGCACAUACAGAGUUUAACCCAUGGAUGCGCCCAGGUGGACACAGGAAAGAGCGCAAACCUUUGGAUAAACAUUUUUGCCCAUUACUUGGAAAUAGGGUCAGAGUACUCCUCACAUCAUAACCUGCACAGGCUGUUGUAGUUAUGAUGCUUCGAAUAACUAAUUUUUCCAAAGAUAAAAAAAAAUCCAAACAGAGAUCAAUGUAUAACAUAAUCAACAAUGCUGGAUAAGUAUGUAAUAUUCAAAUGAUGUGGCAUAAAUAGACAAACAGACAAUCAGGUAGGUGGCACAGUCAUUGUACAUAUGUAUUCCAUGGCAAUUAAAAAGGAGGUAGCUGAUCAUAAGCACUUUUUUAUAACAUGAUUAUAAUUUGAUACAAAAGAAUAAAUAACCAAAAAAAAAUAUGUUUAACAGCGGUAAAACAAUAGAAUUUAGUCUACGGACUCUGUGAUUGUAUGCAAAAGUACUUCUCACCCGCACUAGUGCAAUGUGGAUAACAAACGUUCAAAAUGUUUAUACACUCUGUGUACCUAUACAUGUAUUUAAUACGUCAAGAAAGAGUGAAAAGAUGUGGGGGUUUUUUUUAAAUACAAAAUUAUUUAACAUUUGUUCUCAUGGGUCUGAUUACCGGAAAGAUUGCAGUUGCAUAAAGAUUUGUAGCAUUUAAAAAUAGGAUGUUUAAUAAAUUAAAUAAACACAUUUGAAAUGAAUAUCACACUGUUUAAAAUCAUUACCCUUACUGGAAAAAAAAUAAAAUACAUUUUUUUUUAGAAUUUUACACCAGCAGAAACCAAACAAAAAAUGCUAAUUUAGAAUUAAACACCAGCAGAAAACAUAUUUAAAACACAGACACUACAAGCUGUAAAUUCUAUAACUACCUGGGACAACCAAACAGGUUCUUGAAAAAAAUGACUAAUAUUUAUAUAAAUGUAUAUAAGCAAGGCAUCUUAAAAAACAAAACAAAAAAACGAUACCGUUCUUGAGGUUCUCACAUGACUUAAACAUCUAAGCACCUUUGCUUUAAAAAUAAUGUAACAAAGACAGAAAAGAGAUAAUUUUAAAAAUAUCAUAAUAAUGCUAAUAUAAUAAAACAUUUAAUGAAUGCAGUUUAGCAUAACAGAAAUCUGUUGGCGAAUCUGGUGGACACUUGCAAAAUGUUCUCUAAGCAGCUUCGGUCAAUAGGCCUUAUUCAGACAUAGCACAAGACUUUGAUAUUUCUCCCUUUCUAGCUCCCAAGAAUGGUGAGUCUGUAUAUACAUUUUAGCAUUAGAAAUAAUUCUUCUUUUCAAAUCCGGUUCGUUCAUCAGUCUUUUGGACAACUGGACAAACUCCUGAAAAAGAAGAACAUAUAUCAGUAAAAAGAGGAAUAAAGGCACUCUAUGCGGAUGAUUUAUGUGCAAUUAUGGUAUAAAACAUGGACAGUUCACUGUAUCCUUUCACCAAUCAAUCUCAGCUAUGUAUUGAUUAAAAAGGACUUGUCUAAUAGCUGUACUGCCUAAACUGAACAAAAAACUGAAUUGCAGAACUAAUUUUGUAAAAAAAAAUGUGCCCAGAAAAAAUAUGGCACAUCUUAGAAGCUGUAAAAUGUGUGUGUUAACCAUUACAUUGUUUUUGUAAGCACUAAUACUUUUAAGAUAGGAUGUUGCU
This 3350-nucleotide long non-coding RNA is filed under the name Pelobates cultripes (western spadefoot toad). Lineage: Eukaryota; Metazoa; Chordata; Amphibia; Anura; Pelobatidae. The record is from RNAcentral.